RNAcentral lists this non-coding RNA (21 nucleotides) under Rattus norvegicus (Norway rat). Lineage: Eukaryota; Metazoa; Chordata; Mammalia; Rodentia; Muridae. The record is from RNAcentral.
UAUAUUGCUUUAAGAAUGGUC